This 492-nucleotide ribosomal RNA is filed under the name uncultured bacterium. RNAcentral's name for it is "partial 16S ribosomal RNA". It matches the Rfam family "Bacterial small subunit ribosomal RNA", at positions 29 to 507 of the family's 1533-position model. The record is from RNAcentral.
AGUGAACGCUGGCGGUAGGCCUAACACAUGCAAGUCGAACGGCAGCACAGUAAGAGCUUGCUCUUACGGGUGGCGAGUGGCGGACGGGUGAGGAAUAGAUCGGCUUCUACUUUUUCGUGGGGGACAACGUAGGGCAACUGCCGCUACUACCGCAUACGACCUACGGGUGAAAGCAGGUGAUCUUCAGACCUUGCCCGCUUUCAUGAGCCGACGUCGGAUUAGCUAGUUGGCGGGGAAAAGGCCCACCAAGGCAACGAUCCGUAGCUGGUCUGAGUGGAUGAUCGGCACAACUGGAACUGAAAACCGGUCCAGACUCCUACGGGAGGCAGCAGUGGGGAAUAUUGGACAAGGGGCGCAAGCCUGACCCAGCAAUACGGGGUGGGUGAAGAAGGUUUUCGGGUUGUAAAGCCCUUUUGUUGGGAAAGAAAAGCAGCAGGUUAAUACCCCGAUGUUCUGACGGUACCCAAAGAAUAAGCAACGGCUAACUUCGUG